RNAcentral lists this long non-coding RNA (1514 nucleotides) under Fragaria vesca (wild strawberry). RNAcentral's name for it is "long non-coding RNA (FVES_LNC003599)". The record is from RNAcentral. Lineage: Eukaryota; Viridiplantae; Streptophyta; Magnoliopsida; Rosales; Rosaceae.
AUAUUUCAUUAAACUAGACGCCUAAAAGAUCACAAAUUCUUACUUGAUUCCGCUCAUCAAGUAGGUGUCAUCAAUUCAAGUUGCAGUACUCUAUAUUGAGUACCAAGUGUUUUACUCACUUAUGGAAGCAAAUAAGUGUUUUAAGAUAGACUCUACCUAUGAUAUAUUAGAACCACACUAGAGAAUUAACCUGAAAGAGGUUGAUAGUCCAGUUCCACAACAUCAGUUGUAUAUUAGAAUUUUUUUUUUUUCUUUUCUCUUAAGUAACAAAAUCUAAUACUACUGAUUGUGGAUGCUUAUUGGUGUUAAAAGUUUACAAUGGUAGUUUGGAAACAGGUAUUCGAAAUAACUUCAACAGAAUGUCACUCAUCAUGCCAAAACCCAAAAUGAUGCACAAGCUUAAAAUACACCACGGAAAAACAAUGCAACACUCAUUUAUGAAAUGAGUCGGACUACGAGAUUAUAAUCACUUAUUUGACAUUUGCUUGUUAUUGGUGGGAAGAUGAACACACAAGAGUGCACAAAAAUUGAAAACACAAUAUGAGACAAAUGGUAUAAAGCACAUCCAAAGUAAACUAGAUCAAAUGGCAUAAGGCACAUAACAUUUUCAGAUCAAAUAAUUAGAACAAGGCCAGAACAUUUUCCUUAUUUGUUCUCUUAUCUAGUAGACAUCUAUAUAUGGUUGUUGAAGACGGUCUUACUCAUGGAACAAUUACUUGCAUUACCAAAAAACACAACCAACACACACCUGGAAGACAAGAGACCUCUGCUUUGUCUCUUGAUCAAAUUACUAAACUGCUUCGUUACUCUAUACCCCAGCCUACAAAUUUUCAUUGCAAGUAAACACAACAACGAUAUACAAAAUCACAAAUUGGUCAUAGUCUCAUAUAACCCAUACACCCAAAUCAAAGUUUCUAGUAACUACACAAUCAAUAUCACAAAAUCGGUUAAGAUUAAUAACCAUGCCCAUAAAGUUUUCGACAGUAUAUUUCUAAAAGAAAAGCGACAAUACCGGAAAGAACCCCAGCACGAUCUAUGAGUAGGGAUUCAAAUACGAAGAAAGCAGAUAGUGAAAGAGCAGGGUUGAUACCUCCCAACUGGUUGCACAAGAAGUAUGAUUGAUUGGCCUCGAGACUCACGGUGUCCGGUUGCUUCGUUUUGGGUGGAGGCGCCGCCACUGCUGCAGGGUUUUCAGCUGCACUCUCGGUCCUUGUUACUCCAUAGCUUAGAGCCUCACCAGCCUCGUUAGAGAGAGUCUGUCAAAAUCUUGAGGGAGGUGGCCAGAUUUCAGAAUGAGUUUUGUAUUUAUACCUAGCCCCUUAGAAUCCAUCAAAAUCCAACAACUAAUGAAAUCCGUGAGAAUCUACGGAGUUUUGAAUACCAGCCCAUUUUAAUGGAUAUUUUAAAAUUUUAAUUGAAUACCUCAGGAUUUAAAUAAACUUUUCAAAAUCUUAAUUUGAAUACCCAUAUACUUUUAAAGUCUAAAAAAAUCUAACAGACUCUCAAUUGAAUAC